UUUUCUCUGACCGGAAACGAGUGAAUCGUUUGAGGUUCCCUAGAUUGGAGUGUGCAUGGCCUGGCCCAGGCGGCCAUGGUACCAAUACCCUGGUUUCAAGUCAACUUGAUGACGGCGUGAGAAUAAGUUGAGGAAUUACUAGAGAUCGGCCUUCUUUUCUUCCCAUGAGCAUUUCGGGAAUGGUGGAUGCAGAUGUGCAUGAUGGCCAACCUGUCAAUGGCUUACCUAGCAGCGGAGAGACCGGCAUGGCGCCGGUGGUUUAUUCCAUCUGUGCGGACAGAGCAUGAUGUGGUUCGCCGAGGGAUACAUUGCACGACACCUCGACACCAUACAAAUUAACAAUAGGAUUACUCGUAGGAUAAGUA
Armigeres subalbatus is the source of this 365-nucleotide long non-coding RNA. RefSeq lists it as uncharacterized. The record is from RefSeq and is a predicted model, not a curated record. NCBI's taxonomy places the organism in Eukaryota, Metazoa, Arthropoda, Insecta, Diptera, Culicidae. The transcript has 3 exons.